Molecule: long non-coding RNA, 1444 nt
Organism: Cygnus olor (mute swan)
Lineage: Eukaryota; Metazoa; Chordata; Aves; Anseriformes; Anatidae
Exons: 3
Source: RefSeq, a predicted model, not a curated record
GAGGAGCUGCUGCCGCCCUCGGGUGCUCUGCGGAUGAAAGUCAAGGCUGCUGGAGGACUUCUUAAGGCAUGGAAGCUGAGGAGGUGCGUGAUGCAGAGCCGUGGUGCAAAAUGAAGGGAAGAGACACAAAUAGUUGGAGAUCAAAAGAUUCUCUUUCAGCUCAGAUUCAGUUGGCAUCGAGCUGUUGCAGCGCUGCGUUACGCCGUUUCAAGGACACUGAUCCCCAGCGUGCCACGGGGAGAGGCAACCUGAAGCUCCUGGGGGAGCAGCACAGCUCUGCUGCAGUCCUUCUGGCUGGGUAGUCAGGACCAGAGCUGCAGCCAGGCAGAAGUGGUCUGCUGGUGGGGACCUUGCGAUCACUGGCGAGCAGCAGGAGGGCUCAGAGGUGGUGGCAUUCCCACGGUGGCAUUCGCACACGGCACCGUGCUGGGCACCGUGCAGGCUGAGGCAUCGCAGCGGUAGCAGCACAGGGGACGCAGGGGAGCACGAGGUUACGUUGAGCCUGCUCGUUCUCAUUAUUAGAGUGACAUCCUCAGGGGGAAAGGUGGACGGGAGAAGUCGGGGCUGACACAUGCUGACAAGGGAGCUAUGACUUGUUAAUGAGCAAGGUUUGUUCUCGUCACUCGGGUUGGCCCCACGUUUGGUGCUGCAGGCGGCCACGGCUCCGUGGGACGGAUGGGCAGGUGAAGCCACAGAGCUGAACUGUGUUUCAGCUGCUAGUGUCUGAAAAAACAACCUUUGAACCCAGCUUGUGGGGUGCAGGCAAUGCUCAGGCUCGCAGGGAAGUGCAGGAGCUCAGAGCCCGGCCUCCUGGACACGGCGCGGAGGCAGAGCAGCGCUCCUCAUCCCCUGCUCAGAGCGCCUGCUCGCAGCCUUGAAGCAUUAGCUACAUUAUAUGCUUUUGAAAUCCUCAUUAAACAUGUAUAAAUGGAAAUAAUUUGAUUUUCUAAUGCAAGCCAACCAUUCACAUUCACACGGGCUGCAGGCCACUCAUUCAGAGGCUGUGCCCAGCCCCUCGCACCCUGCUGCAGAGCGGGCUGUGGCCUCCCGGUGCUGGGGGCCCCAAAGCACCUUCGUCACAGCAGGCUGGCAGUCUACGGCACACGGUGAAUAUUCUUCAGUUUUAUUAAACUUCCCAAACAUCUCGAGCUCUAUUAUGUGCUAUCAGUGCCUAACUUCUUUAUUUGGCUGGAUGUCAGAGGCCGCAGUCAGGUCAGGUCCUAUUGUAUCAUAAGCACGGCACAGUCGUUUGGUGGGUGACAGGAAUGAUGAAAUUUUAUUCAAUAACUGCUGUAGCGCCACUUUCAGAAAUAUUUUUUACAUCAUUGUGACAUGUGCCAGAACUCAGAUAUGCGCUUGUAAAUUAGUGCACAGCACUUGGCAAUUUCUGGCUAAUGAAUUCCAGCAAGCAAUUUUCUUUGAAAUUUGUGGAAUAUUUUUGCAU